AGCUCCAAUAGCGUAUAUUAAAGUUGUUGCGGUUAAAAGCUCGUAGUUGGAUUUCUGUCGAGAACGCGCGGUCCAACCUUUGGUUGAGUAUCUGUGUCGGUCUUGGCAUCCUCUGGAGGAUCGGUUCUGCGCUUGAUUGCGUGGUCCGGAACUUCAGACUUUUACUUUGAGGAAAUUAGAGUGUUCACGGCAGGCAAACGCCUUGAAUACAUUAGCAUGGAAUAAUAACAUAGGACCUUAGCCCUAUUUUGUUGGUUUCUAGAGCUGAGGUAAUGAUUAAUAGGGAUAAUUGGGGGCAUUCGUAUCAUCACGUCAGAGGUGGAAUUCUUGGAUUGUGUUGCGACGAACUACUGCGAAAGCAUUUGCCAAGGAUGUUUUCA
RNAcentral lists this ribosomal RNA (380 nucleotides) under uncultured eukaryote. RNAcentral's name for it is "SSU rRNA". It matches the Rfam family "Eukaryotic small subunit ribosomal RNA", at positions 587 to 972 of the family's 1831-position model. The record is from RNAcentral.